GACGGAGUUUUCGGACAACGGAUAGGAAUCCUUAGUGGCGGACGGGUGAGUAACGCGUGAGGAACCUGCCUUGGAGAGGGGAAUAACACAGAGAAAUUUGUGCUAAUACCGCAUGAUGCAGUUGGGUCGCAUGGCUCUGACUGCCAAAGAUUUAUCGCUCUGAGAUGGCCUCGCGUCUGAUUAGCUAGUUGGUAGGGUAACGGCCUACCAAGGCGACGAUCGGUAGCCGGUCUGAGAGGAUGAUCAGCCACACUGGGACUGAGACACGGCCCAGACUCCUACGGGAGGCAGCAGUGGGGAAUAUUGGACAAUGGGCGAAAGCCUGAUCCAGCCAUGCCGCGUGAGUGAUGAAGGCCCUAGGGUUGUAAAGCUCUUUCGACGGGGACGAUAAUGACGGUACCCGUAGAAGAAGCCCCGGCUAACUUCGUGCCAGCAGCCGCAGUAA
This 445-nucleotide ribosomal RNA is filed under the name uncultured bacterium. Its description in RNAcentral is "partial 16S ribosomal RNA". It matches the Rfam family "Bacterial small subunit ribosomal RNA", at positions 65 to 523 of the family's 1533-position model. The record is from RNAcentral.